Molecule: ribosomal RNA, 484 nt
Filed under: uncultured bacterium
Lineage: Bacteria
Description: partial 16S ribosomal RNA
Rfam family: Bacterial small subunit ribosomal RNA
Source: RNAcentral
AGUGAACGCUGGCGGCGUGCUUAACACAUGCAAGUCGAGCGAGAACGGGUUAUAGCUUGCUAUAAUUGUCAGCUAAGUGUCGCACGGGUGAGUAAUGUAUAGGUAAUAUGCCUCUUACUAAGGGAUAACAAAUGGAAACGUUUGCUAAUACCUUAUACUCCUUAUUAACAUAAGUUAAUAAGGGAAAGAUUUAUUGGUAAGAGAUUAGCCUGUAUUGUAUCAGUUAGUUGGUGGGGUAAUGGCUUACCAAGACUAUGACACAUAACUGGUUUGAGAGGAUGAUCAGUCACACUGGAACUGAGACACGGUCCAGACUCCUACGGGAGGCAGCAGUGGGGAAUAUUGCACAAUGGACGAAAGUCUGAUGCAGCAACGCCGCGUGGAGGAUGACACAUUUCGGUGCGUAAACUCCUUUUAUAUGAGAAGAUAAUGACGGUAUUAUAUGAAUAAGCACCGGCUAACUCCGUGCCAGCAGCCGCAGUAA